AAGAAAAUCAAAAUCUGAAAUAUAUAAUAUUUUAUAAUAUUUUCAAGUACAAUACAUACAUAGUAUGAAACAUUGUAUAAAAUAGUAUACAAAUGUUUGUUCUAUUUAUAUUAGUUGAGCAUCAUAUGUAAAAUAGUACGAGAAGAAAUAAAAGUACUUAUUGAUGAAAAGACGUUCUUGAACUAUACAUGACCCUAACAUUGUCAAACAUUUGAAUGAAACUAAUUUUAUAUUACGAGCAAUCAUACAAAAAGGCAUAGAAGAGAAAUAUUAAAUUUGAAGACAUGACAUAUAAACCCUAAACUCUAGUAUGAGAAAGAAAUUACUAAACUCUAAAUCCUAAACCCAAAUAUAAACCCUAAACCAUAAUCACUAAACCCUAAACCCAAAUAUAAACCCUAAUCACUAAACCCUAAACCCAAAUAUAAACCCUAAACACUAAACUCUACUCACCCACUUAAAUACUAAAACCCUAGACAAACCCCUAGUUACUAAAUCUAAACCCAAAUAACUAAAUUAUAAACCCAAACAAAAUCUAUAUAAUAUGUUGUCAAUUUUCUCAAUAUACACGACAUAGUAUGGAACCGCUAUAAAUAGUAUAGAAGUACUGGUCCACUCCAUUUACAUUUUCCAAAUGACCAAGUUUGAGAACGAAAUUACUAAACCCUAAACACUAAUCACUAAAUCUUAAACCCAAAUAUAA
This 703-nucleotide long non-coding RNA is filed under the name Brassica napus (rape). RNAcentral's name for it is "long non-coding RNA (BNAP_LNC018596)". The record is from RNAcentral. Lineage: Eukaryota; Viridiplantae; Streptophyta; Magnoliopsida; Brassicales; Brassicaceae.